RNAcentral lists this ribosomal RNA (492 nucleotides) under uncultured bacterium. RNAcentral's name for it is "partial 16S ribosomal RNA". It matches the Rfam family "Bacterial small subunit ribosomal RNA", at positions 29 to 507 of the family's 1533-position model. The record is from RNAcentral.
AGUGAACGCUGGCGGUAGGCCUAACACAUGCAAGUCGAACGGCAGCACAGUAAGAGCUUGCUCUUACGGGUGGCGAGUGGCGGACGGGUGAGGAAUACAUCGGAAUCUACUUUUUCGUGGGGGAUAACGUAGGGAAACUUACGCUAAUACCGCAUACGACCUACGGGUGAAAGCAGGGGAUCUUCGGACCUUGCGCGAUUGAAUGAGCCGAUGUCGGAUUAGCUAGUUGGCGGGGUAAAGGCCCACCAAGGCGACGAUCCGUCGCUGGUCUGAGAGGAUGAUCAGCCACACUGGAACUGAGAAACGGUCGAGAAUCCUACGGGAGGCAGCAGUGGGGAAUAUUGGACAAUGGGCGCAAGCCUGAUCCAGCCAUACCGCGUGGGUGAAGAAGGCCUUCGGGUUGUAAAGCCCUUUUGUUGGGAAAGAAGAGCAGCAGGUUAAUACCCCGCUGUUCUGACGGUACCCAAAGAAUAAGCACCGGCUAACUUCGUG